This is a long non-coding RNA of Arabidopsis thaliana (thale cress), 201 nucleotides long. RefSeq annotates it as other RNA. The record is from RefSeq. The transcript has a single exon. NCBI's taxonomy places the organism in Eukaryota, Viridiplantae, Streptophyta, Magnoliopsida, Brassicales, Brassicaceae.
CAGGCCCGUUUGACCUAGGGUCUAGUUCCAAAAGGAAGAACAAAGUAAACGCAACGGUUGGUACUUAAAAAGAGAGUGAAAAGAAAAGAUAUAAGGCAACACUAUCAAAAUCCUUAUCUAUCCACGUAUACGAAAGAGUUAGAGGAAACAUAUUUGUACAAUAGAAAUAUUGCGAUAGAUUUUUAUAUCACAGUUCUAUCU